CUACGGGGGGCACCAGUGGGGAAUAUUGCACAAUGGAGGAAACUCUGAUGCAGCAACGCCGCGUGGAGGAUGACACUUUUCGGAGCGUAAACUCCUUUUAUAUAGGAAGAAGAUGACGGUACUAUAUGAAUAAGCGCCGGCUAACUCCGUGCCAGCAGCCGCGGUAAUACGGAGGGCGCAAGCGUUACUCGGAAUCACUGGGCGUAAAGAGCGUGUAGGCGGAUUAAAAAGUAAGAAGUGAAAUCCUAUAGCUUAACUAUAGAACUGCUUCUGAAACUCUUAAUCUAGAAUAUGGGAGAGGUAGAUGGAAUUUCUGGUGUAGGGGUAAAAUCCGUAGAGAUCAGAAGGAAUACCGAUUGCGAAGGCGAUCUACUAGAACAUUACUGACGCUAAGGCGUGAAAGCGUGGGGAGCAAACAGGAUUAGAUACCCGGGUAGUC
RNAcentral lists this ribosomal RNA (439 nucleotides) under uncultured bacterium. Its description in RNAcentral is "partial 16S ribosomal RNA". It matches the Rfam family "Bacterial small subunit ribosomal RNA", at positions 339 to 795 of the family's 1533-position model. The record is from RNAcentral.